This 69-nucleotide transfer RNA is filed under the name Petrobius brevistylis. RNAcentral's name for it is "tRNA-Asn". The record is from RNAcentral. Lineage: Eukaryota; Metazoa; Arthropoda; Insecta; Archaeognatha; Machilidae.
UUAAUAAAAUCCAAACUACAGAGGAAUAUCACUGUUAAUGAUAUCAUUAAGAUAAUAUCUUUUAUUAAA